RNAcentral lists this ribosomal RNA (432 nucleotides) under Argusianus argus (great argus). RNAcentral's name for it is "partial 16S ribosomal RNA". It matches the Rfam family "Bacterial large subunit ribosomal RNA", at positions 1930 to 2528 of the family's 2925-position model. The record is from RNAcentral. Lineage: Eukaryota; Metazoa; Chordata; Aves; Galliformes; Phasianidae.
GCCGCGGUAUCCUAACCGUGCGAAGGUAGCGCAAUCAAUUGUCUCAUAAAUCGAGACUUGUAUGAAUGGCUAAACGAGGUCUUAGCUGUCUCCUGCAGGUAAUCAGUGAAAUUAGUAUUCCCGUGCAAAAACGAGAAUGUGACCAUAAGACGAGAAGACCCUGUGGAACUUUAAAAUCACGACCACCUUCACACCAACACAACCCAUCGGAUCCACCCACAAAGCACUUGGUCGACAUUUUUCGGUUGGGGCGACCCUGGAGAAAAACAAAUCCUCCAAACCCAUAGACCACACCUCUUCACCAAGAUCCACCACUCAAAGUGCUAAUAGUAAUCUAGACCCAAUACAAUUGACCAAUGGACCAAGCUACCCCAGGGAUAACAGCGCAAUCUCCUCCAAGAGCCCAUAUCGACAAGGAGGUUUACGACCUCG